RNAcentral lists this ribosomal RNA (468 nucleotides) under uncultured bacterium. RNAcentral's name for it is "partial 16S ribosomal RNA". It matches the Rfam family "Bacterial small subunit ribosomal RNA", at positions 28 to 507 of the family's 1533-position model. The record is from RNAcentral.
GACGAACGCUGGCGGCGCGCCUAACACAUGCAAGUCGAACGGAGCCGAGAGAAGCUUGCUUUUCUUAGCUUAGUGGCGAACGGGUGAGUAACGCGUGAGUAACCUGCCCUGGAGUGGGGGACAACAGUUGGAAACGACUGCUAAUACCGCAUAAGCCCACGAUCCGGCAUCGGAUUGAGGGAAAAGGAUUUAUUCGCUUCAGGAUGGACUCGCGUCCAAUUAGCUAGUUGGUGAGGUAACGGCCCACCAAGGCGACGAUUGGUAGCCGGACUGAGAGGUUGAACCGCCACAAUUGGACUGAGACACGGCCCAGACUCCUACGGGAGGGAGCAGUGGGGGAUAUUGCACAAUGGGGGAAACCCUGAUGCAGCGACGCCGCGUGGAGGAAGAAGGUUUUCGGAUUGUAAACUCCUGUCGUUAGGGACGAUAAUGACGGUACCUAACAAGAAAGCACCGGCUAACUACGUG